UAGGACGGCAAACCAUCCCGGUUUGCCUGGGACUGAGGGAUAUGAGACUUCAGUGCUAAAACUGGGACAGUUCUGGGCUAACCAAG
Molecule: microRNA precursor, 86 nt
Filed under: Tursiops truncatus (common bottlenose dolphin)
Lineage: Eukaryota; Metazoa; Chordata; Mammalia; Artiodactyla; Delphinidae
Description: miRNA (ENSTTRG00000024930.1)
Source: RNAcentral